GAUGAACGCUAGCUACAGGCUUAACACAUGCAAGUCGAGGGGCAGCAUGGUCUUAGCUUGCUAAGGCCGAUGGCGACCGGCGCACGGGUGAGUAACACGUAUCCAACCUGCCGUCUACUCUUGGACAGCCUUCUGAAAGGAAGAUUAAUACAAGAUGGCAUCAUGAGUCCGCAUGUUCACAUGAUUAAAGGUAUUCCGGUAGACGAUGGGGAUGCGUUCCAUUAGAUAGUAGGCGGGGUAACGGCCCACCUAGUCUUCGAUGGAUAGGGGUUCUGAGAGGAAGGUCCCCCGCAUUUGAACUAAGACACGGUCCAAACUCCUACGGGAGGCAGCAGUGAGGAAUAUUAGUCAAUAGACGCAGGCCUGAACCAGCCAAGUAGCGUGAAGGAUGACUGCCCUAUGGAUUGUAAACUACUUUUAUAAAGGAAUAAAGUCGGGUAUGUAUACCCGUUUGCAUGUACUUUAUGAAUAAGGAUCGGCUAGCUCCGUG
Molecule: ribosomal RNA, 490 nt
Filed under: uncultured bacterium
Lineage: Bacteria
Description: partial 16S ribosomal RNA
Rfam family: Bacterial small subunit ribosomal RNA
Source: RNAcentral